UUUAUGGAGAGUUUGAUCCUGGCUCAGGAUGAACGCUGGCGGCGUGCCUAAUACAUGCAAGUCGAGCGAACGGACGAGAAGCUUGCUUCUCUGAUGUUAGCGGCGGACGGGUGAGUAACACGUGGAUAACCUACCUAUAAGACUGGGAUAACUUCGGGAAACCGGAGCUAAUACCGGAUAAUAUUUUGAACCGCAUGGUUCAAAAGUGAAAGACGGUCUUGCUGUCACUUAUAGAUGGAUCCGCGCUGCAUUAGCUAGUUGGUAAGGUAACGGCUUACCAAGGCAACGAUGCAUAGCCGACCUGAGAGGGUGAUCGGCCACACUGGAACUGAGACACGGUCCAGACUCCUACGGGAGGCAGCAGUAGGGAAUCUUCCGCAAUGGGCGAAAGCCUGACGGAGCAACGCCGCGUGAGUGAUGAAGGUCUUCGGAUCGUAAAACUCUGUUAUUAGGGAAGAACAUAUGUGUAAGUAACUGUGCACAUCUUGACGGUACCUAAUCAGAAAGCCACGGCUAACUACGUGCCAGCAGCCGCGGUAAUACGUAGGUGGCAAGCGUUAUCCGGAAUUAUUGGGCGUAAAGCGCGCGUAGGCGGUUUUUUAAGUCUGAUGUGAAAGCCCACGGCUCAACCGUGGAGGGUCAUUGGAAACUGGAAAACUUGAGUGCAGAAGAGGAAAGUGGAAUUCCAUGUGUAGCGGUGAAAUGCGCAGAGAUAUGGAGGAACACCAGUGGCGAAGGCGACUUUCUGGUCUGUAACUGACGCUGAUGUGCGAAAGCGUGGGGAUCAAACAGGAUUAGAUACCCUGGUAGUCCACGCCGUAAACGAUGAGUGCUAAGUGUUAGGGGGUUUC
Molecule: ribosomal RNA, 851 nt
Filed under: Staphylococcus aureus
Lineage: Bacteria; Bacillati; Bacillota; Bacilli; Caryophanales; Staphylococcaceae
Description: bacterial SSU rRNA
Rfam family: Bacterial small subunit ribosomal RNA
Source: RNAcentral